GUAUGUGGCAAGCGUUGUCCGGAAUUAUUGGGCGUAAAGCGCGCGCAGGUGGUUCUUUAAGUCUGAUGUGAAAGCCCCCGGGCUCAACCGGGGAGGGUCAUUGGAAACUGGGGAACUUGAGUGCAGGAGAGGAAAGUGGAAUUCCACGUGUAGCGGUGAGAUGCGUAGAUAUGUGGAGGAACACCAGUGGCGAAGGCGACUUUCUGGCCUGUAACUGACACUGAGGCGCGAAAGCGUGGGGAGCAAACAGGAUUAGAUACCCUGGUAGUCCACGCCGUAAACGAUGAGUGCUAAGUGUUGGGGGGUUUCCGCCCCUCAGUGCUGCAGCUAACGCAUUAAGCACUCCGCCUGGGGAGUACGGUCGCAAGACUG
RNAcentral lists this ribosomal RNA (372 nucleotides) under uncultured organism. RNAcentral describes it as "partial 16S ribosomal RNA". It matches the Rfam family "Bacterial small subunit ribosomal RNA", at positions 527 to 896 of the family's 1533-position model. The record is from RNAcentral.